RNAcentral lists this ribosomal RNA (595 nucleotides) under uncultured bacterium. RNAcentral's name for it is "bacterial SSU rRNA". It matches the Rfam family "Bacterial small subunit ribosomal RNA", at positions 263 to 858 of the family's 1533-position model. The record is from RNAcentral.
GCUCACCAAACCUACGAUGGAUAGGGGUUCUGAGAGGAAGGUCCCCCACACUGGUACUGAGACACGGUCCAGACUCCUACGGGAGGCAGCAGUGAGGAAUAUUGGUCAAUGGGCGCGAGCCUGAACCAGCCACGUCGCGUGAAGGAUGACGGCCUUAUGGGUUGUAAACUUCUUUUACAGGGGAAUAAAGUGAGUCACGUGUGAUUUUUUGCAUGUACCCUGUGAAUAAGCAUCGGCUAACUCCGUGCCAGCAGCCGCGGUAAUACGGAGGAUGCGAGCGUUAUCCGGAUUUAUUGGGUUUAAAGGGUGCGUAGGCGGGAUAUUAAGUCAGCGGUGAAAGUUUUCGGCUCAACCUUAAAAUUGCCGUUGAAACUGUGGUUCCUGAGUGCAGAAGAGGUAGGCGGAAUUCGUUGUGUAGCGGUGAAAUGCGUAGAUAUAACGAAGAACACCAAUUGCGUAGGCAGCUUACCAUACUGCAACUGACGCUGAGGCACGAAAGUGUGGGUAUCAAACAGGAUUAGAUACCCUGGUAGUCCACACAGUAAACGAUGAAUACUAGCUGUUUGCGAUACACUGCAAGUGGCCGAGCGAAAGC